AUGCUGUGUUUGACUUCGGCUCUAGCAAGUGCCCUCAGUUCUGAGCCUUUACUCCUGACCUCAACCAGAAGCUCCCACCUGGGGGCCUCUCAGCUCACCCCGACAGGGGAAGAGGAUGAGCUCAGUGGGCAGGAGGACGCCUUCUGCAGCUGGGCCGUGCAAACCUUCAAGGCAGCCUGUGAGACGUUUGAUGUCCAAGGCAAACAGCACAUUCAGAUCCCCAAGCUCUACAUCUCCAGUGUGACCAGGGACCUGCACCACUUCAGGCUCGUGCAGGACUCACAGCCUUUGGACCUCAGCAAAGCCCUCAGCAGCAUGCACGCCAAGAACGUGUUCACCAUGAGGCUCAAAUCUCGGCAGAACCUACAGAGUCCGCCAUCCAGGUAAGGGAAAGUGCAGGGCUUCUUGGGUGAUGCUCUGUCGAUUUUAUUCUAAUGAAUGAAAGACCAGAAGAAGUCAGUCUUUGAAGGGAGAGGAGAGGAGCCUCUGCUGGCAUCAGCAGCCACGCCAUCGUAGAACGGGCUCACCUGGACCUGUGGCUGCCUGUGCUUCUACAUCUAGUCUUGGUUAACCACGGCCACUUUUCCAGCUUGGACACUAAGCACCUGCUCCACUUCCUCUCCUUCCUCAUUGAACUCUUUCAGUAAAAGGAGAGUGCAAGACAGACUUAAACUGUUUGAUUCAUUCUGAAGAACUUUCAGGAAAAGUGUUGGCAGAGAAGGAGAUUUCCCAGCUCUGGGAAAUGAGCCUUGUGGAUUAUCUGCAGGUUUCAUUAAUCCGUGCUGUCCUCCCCACGUGCAUUAGGAAAACUGGCCUUGGUUCUAAUAAGAACAUGGUUUGUCCUGGCAACAAGGAAAGGUUUCUUCUGAUGUCCAUGUGUCUCCAAGGGGGAUACUUUCUUUAGGCAGAGGCUGUGGCCAAGCGCUCGGGGGCUCAGAGGGCUGCUGGGAAGGGGUGGGUCCCCUCCUCCCCAGAGGGAAGCUCCCGGGGCCCUCUCGAGCACCCCUGCCUGUGGGGAUCCCUCAUCCCAUGCUCAGGGUGGCGGGCCCAGGCUUGUGGAACCAGCCAGGAAAAUGAAAGGAGGGCACAUUUCCUGGGGAAUCUCGCCUGCCCAUCAGGGAGCCCUGGAGGAAAUUCUGCAGUCACCUGAGGCGGCUUCUUCUUCCUCUUUUUCUUUUUUUUUGGACACAGAGUCUCACUCAGUUGCCCAGGCUGGAGUGCAGUGGUAUGAUCUCG
RNAcentral lists this long non-coding RNA (1236 nucleotides) under Rhinopithecus bieti (black snub-nosed monkey). Its description in RNAcentral is "lncRNA (ENSRBIG00000045754.1)". Lineage: Eukaryota; Metazoa; Chordata; Mammalia; Primates; Cercopithecidae. The record is from RNAcentral.